RNAcentral lists this unclassified non-coding RNA (252 nucleotides) under Hevea brasiliensis (rubber tree). Lineage: Eukaryota; Viridiplantae; Streptophyta; Magnoliopsida; Malpighiales; Euphorbiaceae. The record is from RNAcentral.
AUUAUGCAGCAGCGAAUUCAUAGUAUUACUAGACAAAGAGAAGAGCUGCAACAUGUGGAGAUUGAACUUAAAGCUCAGUUGAAGAUCAUGGAAAUGCAGAACAGUUUUGAUGCUCAAAUCAAAGAUCAUGAAGAUGCUGCUGCAAAUCUUAAGGAACAACUCCGAGAAAGGGAACAGGUGAAACAUGAAUUAGAAAGGAGAAUGGAAGAGAAAGAAAGAGAAUUACAUGCCAUUAAAUUGGAUAAUGAAGCG